This 491-nucleotide ribosomal RNA is filed under the name uncultured bacterium. Its description in RNAcentral is "partial 16S ribosomal RNA". It matches the Rfam family "Bacterial small subunit ribosomal RNA", at positions 28 to 523 of the family's 1533-position model. The record is from RNAcentral.
GAUGAACGCUGGCGGCGUGCCUAAUACAUGCAAGUCGAGCGAAGGGAUUAAUAGCUUGCUCUUAUGAAGUUAGCGGCGGAGGAGUGAGUAACGAGAGGGAACGUGCCGUUCAGUACGGGAUAACACAGGGAAACUAGGGCUAAUACUGGAGACGUAGGAGAGGAGAAGGAUUUAGCGCUAAAGUAUCGGCACGCGUCUGAUUAGCUAGUUGGUGGGGUAAUGGCCCACCAAGGCAACGAUGCGUAGCCGACCUGAGAGGGUGAUCGGCCACACUGGGACUGAGACACGGCCCAGACUCCUACGGGAGGCAGCAGUAGGGAAUCUUCCGCAAUGGACGAAAGUCUGACGGAGCAACGCCGCGUGAGUGAUGAAGGCUUUCGGGUCGUAAAACUCUUUUGUUAGGGAAGAACAAGUGCUAGUUGAAUAAGCUGGCACCUUGACGGUACCUAAACAAAAAGCAACGGCUAACUACGUGCCAGCAGCCGCCGUAA